This 1530-nucleotide ribosomal RNA is filed under the name Salmonella enterica. RNAcentral describes it as "bacterial SSU rRNA". It matches the Rfam family "Bacterial small subunit ribosomal RNA". The record is from RNAcentral. Lineage: Bacteria; Pseudomonadati; Pseudomonadota; Gammaproteobacteria; Enterobacterales; Enterobacteriaceae. RNAcentral also lists the same sequence under 1 other name.
AGAGUUUGAUCAUGGCUCAGAUUGAACGCUGGCGGCAGGCCUAACACAUGCAAGUCGAACGGUAACAGGAAGCAGCUUGCUGCUUCGCUGACGAGUGGCGGACGGGUGAGUAAUGUCUGGGAAACUGCCUGAUGGAGGGGGAUAACUACUGGAAACGGUGGCUAAUACCGCAUAACGUCGCAAGACCAAAGAGGGGGACCUUCGGGCCUCUUGCCAUCAGAUGUGCCCAGAUGGGAUUAGCUUGUUGGUGAGGUAACGGCUCACCAAGGCGACGAUCCCUAGCUGGUCUGAGAGGAUGACCAGCCACACUGGAACUGAGACACGGUCCAGACUCCUACGGGAGGCAGCAGUGGGGAAUAUUGCACAAUGGGCGCAAGCCUGAUGCAGCCAUGCCGCGUGUAUGAAGAAGGCCUUCGGGUUGUAAAGUACUUUCAGCGGGGAGGAAGGUGUUGUGGUUAAUAACCGCAGCAAUUGACGUUACCCGCAGAAGAAGCACCGGCUAACUCCGUGCCAGCAGCCGCGGUAAUACGGAGGGUGCAAGCGUUAAUCGGAAUUACUGGGCGUAAAGCGCACGCAGGCGGUCUGUCAAGUCGGAUGUGAAAUCCCCGGGCUCAACCUGGGAACUGCAUUCGAAACUGGCAGGCUUGAGUCUUGUAGAGGGGGGUAGAAUUCCAGGUGUAGCGGUGAAAUGCGUAGAGAUCUGGAGGAAUACCGGUGGCGAAGGCGGCCCCCUGGACAAAGACUGACGCUCAGGUGCGAAAGCGUGGGGAGCAAACAGGAUUAGAUACCCUGGUAGUCCACGCCGUAAACGAUGUCUACUUGGAGGUUGUGCCCUUGAGGCGUGGCUUCCGGAGCUAACGCGUUAAGUAGACCGCCUGGGGAGUACGGCCGCAAGGUUAAAACUCAAAUGAAUUGACGGGGGCCCGCACAAGCGGUGGAGCAUGUGGUUUAAUUCGAUGCAACGCGAAGAACCUUACCUGGUCUUGACAUCCACGGAAGGUCUCAGAGAUGAGACUGUGCCUUCGGGAACCGUGAGACAGGUGCUGCAUGGCUGUCGUCAGCUCGUGUUGUGAAAUGUUGGGUUAAGUCCCGCAACGAGCGCAACCCUUAUCCUUUGUUGCCAGCGGUCCGGCCGGGAACUCAAAGGAGACUGCCAGUGAUAAACUGGAGGAAGGUGGGGAUGACGUCAAGUCAUCAUGGCCCUUACGACCAGGGCUACACACGUGCUACAAUGGCGCAUACAAAGAGAAGCGACCUCGCGAGAGCAAGCGGACCUCAUAAAGUGCGUCGUAGUCCGGAUUGGAGUCUGCAACUCGACUCCAUGAAGUCGGAAUCGCUAGUAAUCGUGGAUCAGAAUGCCACGGUGAAUACGUUCCCGGGCCUUGUACACACCGCCCGUCACACCAUGGGAGUGGGUUGCAAAAGAAGUAGGUAGCUUAACCUUCGGGAGGGCGCUUACCACUUUGUGAUUCAUGACUGGGGUGAAGUCGUAACAAGGUAACCGUAGGGGAACCUGCGGUUGGAUCACCU